UUAAAUGUGAAGAUGGACAUAAGUAAUUAAGUGUAUUCUACAGAGAGACGAUGGUUGGUGAAAAUCGUUCAAAAAACUUAAUGAAAUACAGUCCUGAACUGUAAGCUGAAUUUUUAGUAGGCUGAGCCGCUAACUCACGUUAAGAGUAAGAGAUGAUUAAUAUUUUAUUUAUCUGAAAGUAGGGUGGUACCACGACUAAGUUCGUCCCUUGG
This 212-nucleotide non-coding RNA is filed under the name Clostridium carboxidivorans. Its description in RNAcentral is "T-box sequence". It matches the Rfam family "T-box leader". Rfam says of the family: Uncharged tRNA acts as the effector for transcription antitermination of genes in the T-box leader family. T-boxes are found upstream of many aminoacyl-tRNA synthetase genes and some amino acid biosynthetic genes usually in Gram-positive bacteria. The anticodon of a specific tRNA base pairs to a specifier sequence within the T-box motif, and the NCCA acceptor tail of the tRNA base pairs to a conserved bulge in the T-box antiterminator hairpin. The record is from RNAcentral. Lineage: Bacteria; Bacillati; Bacillota; Clostridia; Eubacteriales; Clostridiaceae.